CCAAGCCACCGUCCAAUGGGAUGGUCUAAUCUAGUAUCAGACGCAAUAUUUAUUUUCAUUGCGCUAGACCCCUUUCAUCUCUAUUAGGCAUCAAUCGAUUGCCUAACCGUUUGAAACCUUUGUACCAUUGCAUAUUUCUCUCAAUAAUUUUCGUAAGUUACAACUUGAGGAAUAAUUCAUGUCUUCUUCCCUGAGUUCGCUGUUAGGUGCCCAACUUUGUGUAGCUAUGUUCUGCCAUAAUUUUCCCUCUAAUCGCAUUCGUAGGACGAAGAAGAUUCUGAAGGAAGGAUGACGACUUCAACAGUAUGACCUGAAACCAAGAAUUGAAGACAACAAUGAAAGGGAUCAAUUUCUUCGGGAAGAGCAAACAAGACCGAGAAGAUUCAUAGAAUUUCAUAACCAAACCUUCCCCCUUACUUCUACCUCUUAAUUUUCGGGACGAGAAUUUCCUUUGGUGGUGGAGAGUUGUGACACCAUGUGAUUCAUGUUAUAGUGAUCCGUGUAGUUAAGCUACAACAACCUCUCAGGUUAAGCUAAUGGAUUUUUAUAAAUAGUGUUUGAUCAUCUUUGAUGGAUGGCGAUCAUGAUAUAUAGGCAUGCAUGCAUGGAAGCGCGAAACUCGAAACUCGAUGAUGGAUGGCGAUCGAAUUCGGAUAGGCCUUUGCAGUUCGACUCGGAUGGGGAAUCCUGAAUAUUGCGUUCAGUUUUGGGGGUGUUUGUUUCCAGGGAUUUUUUGGUGUAGGGACUAAGAAAAUCCCAUGUGAAACAAACAGGAGGGACUUUUAGGGACUAAAAGGGGGUAUUUGGGACUAUUUGGAGAAGUCUCUAUGGGAGGGUCUUUUUGGGACUUUUUGGCACUUUUUUCAACAAUGCCCCUACUUUUAGCAUGUCAUUUAAUAACUAGUACUAUAUUACUAAUGGUAACAUGGUCUUUUUACAUGUCAUUUAAUGACCUCUAGUUCCUAUUUAGUCCCUGAAAACAAACGGGUAGGGACUAGGGACUUUUAAGUUGGGACUAAAAAAAGUCCCGAAACUUCUCAAACAAACACGGCCUUUGAUAUUCCCCAUCGUAACGUGUAGGGUGUAUUGUGUUGCUGCAGUCCGAAUGGAAUCCUGAAUCUUUAUUCUCCGUUGUCAAAGAUUCACCUCGACGUGAAGUUUCUACACGUGAGCUCAUAUGUUCCCGGUGUAAACAGUAAAAUAAAUAAAAUAAUAAAUGAUUUCAAAAUUAAUUAUAAUUUUUUUGGCAUAUUUCAAUAAAUGUUUGUUGUGCAUGUAAAAUUUCAUCACCAAAUAAAAAUGAUGAAAGGCAUGGUAAAAAAGUAAAAUUGAUGCUCUCUAAAUGUAACUUCCAAACGCAUUUUGGAACUUUGAUUUUAUUUUUUCUUCCCACGACUUCCGACAACCUGAUUUCGUAAUGAAACUUUGCAUGCAAAAGCAUUUAUUAAUGUAUGUAAAAUAAAUCUGAACUUCUUAAAAUGUUUUUCUGUUUUUUUUAGUUCACAACUCAGGUGUACCAAGGUACUCUGGAAUUAAACUUUUUUGAGGCCCAGAUUAAGGCUAAAUUGUUUUUUUUUCCGAUGAUAACGUCCACAUGUGUGACAUCUCUAUACUUCAUCCACAUGUUUUACUCUUCGUCUGUUCUAUUUUACACGAAUCUUGAGGAUUUCUAAUGAAAUUGAAGUGCCACGUUCGCAGGCCCGGCCCUGAGAGGGGUAGGAGGGGCGGUCGCCCGGGCCCCCAAACUGCAAGGGCCCCCGCCACGCUUGCAUGUAGUCUGUGAAGUGAAAGAGUGGCUCGCAUCCAUGCUGGUGGUGUGCAGGAAUGUGCCAUGUACUCGAUCCACACAAACAUUACACGCAUCCAUCCCAACCGCAGGGACAAGGUAGCUAACCAGUUCACCUAAAAAGAAAGUAGCCCGGGAGUCCACGACGUCUGAGUGAAGUUAUGAUCGCUAGCGUUCCGAUCGCGAGCCAUGACAAACCCUAAUCCCAGGCCUCCAUCAAGGCGACAAGGCGGGUCUCAGGAGGUGUUGGAUGAACUGCCAUCAGGCCGCUGCGGUAUGCACUCCGGUGAACUCUGCUCUCUCGCCGAGCACCUUCCUCCACCAGGUUCACAUCGGUUCAUCAUCGAUCAAGGGCUAACGAUCCGAUCGAUCCGAGGUCUAGCAUAUAAUAACUUAUUCAUCUCCAUAUGACUAUAUUUCUAUACGUAUAUUGCUAAUUAUGUGAUUUAUUUUUACAUACAUGAUGCAUACCAGCAUAUCUUGCACUGUUUAAGGAAAAAAUGGAACUGUGCUUAGCAAUAUGGCCUAGAAAUUGUACACAUAGCAGUGAACAAAUAAACAUAAAUUAGUGUAUGAUGACUUGAUAGAAUCACGUUAGGAGCUAUUGGAUAAAAAAAUCAAAGGUAAUACUAGCUCUUCGCUGAACCUGAUGAGCUGGCGAUAGUUCCCUUGUAGGAAGAGGAAUGUUAAAAGAAAAUUUUAAGAUAAUAUCUGGUGUUGAAUCUAGUCUAGAAGAAAAAGGAUGCAGCAUGUGUAGUUCCCUUUGCCCCUGUGCGGUCCUCUACUUUUGUUAUGUCGACAUUACUCGGUAGAGAUUACUUGUUUAUGCAACGAUUUUCAUUUUGCAAAGUUAUACCCAUUUCCUGACACUAUUGUUUCUUGUAUCAAAACAUGCACAGUAUGAACCAUGUACGAUUCAGCUGAACAGAGCAUUUGGUCGUUGCUAAAACUGUAUGCUCGGUUAACUUUAUUCUAGAUAAAUGACAUUUUCAUUCAAUCGAUAUGCCGAGGUAAUACAGCCACACCAAGCAAAGGCCUCUGCAUCGCACGAUGAACACGGUGACCACGCCCAACCCAAUCAAAACGAGGAAGCCGUAUGUUCUAACUCGCUGCACAUGCCGUUGAUGACUGACUAGUGAGCUGACAAUUCAGUUCGGCUCUUACCGUAAGUUUCAAGCCUGGACAAAUAAAAUGCCGCGUAUUAUAAAUGGAAUGCUAAACUUGUUAGAGUUGUGUCGAAUAUUGUGUAUAAGGUAGGUUACAGUUGGACUUGUAGUUGUAUUGUGUUUAGAUAGGAUAUGGAGUCGUGUCCAAACAGGACACUUAUAUCCUAGGCCCUUCAUAUAUAGCGGGGGUAGACACACGAUGUAACAUAUGCCAACAUAAUAGCACAUGUGUGCAGGGGGAGCCGGCGGCGUGUGCCGGCGCCCAAGACGGUCAUGGUGCGGUAUUGUGACGGUGUCACGGAAAGGAGCGCCCGUAGUCAUGCCCCGGAGAUGUAGCCAUAUCGGUGAACCUCGUUAACAAAUCUUGAUGUCGUGCUCGUGUGAUUGUUUGAUCCUCGAAUGAUUGACAGUGUGCCUCGGAUUUAUUCUAACAAAACUAGUUUUCUAUACAAAGGGUAAUAUACCCCCAAGCACCUGAAAGAUCCCAUGUCAACAAAAUUUUGACGGGACUAAAACAUCAACAGGCAUCAGAAUCAGCAGCGGCUCAUGUUUUCCACUGUCAAUAUGCGAGCUGUGCAUGCGAGCCGAUCAUCUCUCCCUCUCGGACUGACGCAGUUUUCAUGACCGUCAUCUCACGUUGCAGCAAUGGGUGCUGCCAGACUGCAAUUUUCUCCACAGGCAGAUCAUGUGCUGGGGGACUGAUAGUGUUAGGUGAUGUAACCAUCGAAGCAACCAGCCGCCUGGUAGAACCUGACAUCGAGCCGAUACUCUACCGGUCGAUGAGUGAUAUUGAAUUUCUCUUCCCACAUGCCCAUGCUGACAUCUUCCAUCUUCAAUAGCCGCACAAUAAAGAAUCAACAGUUAUCCAUCACCAUUUCUCCAUGACGUGAGUAAAUUCAGUGAGUUGGUAGGUGUUGGGUAGCGUCUAAGAGAUAGAUUCUUAGUGAUACGUCUUCAUCGUAUCUAUUUUUCUAAACUCUUUUGCCCUUGUUUUGGACUUUAAUUUGCAUGAUUUGAAUGGAACUAAUCCGGACUAACGCUGUUUUCAGCAGAAUUGCCAUGAUGUUGUUUUUGUGCAGAAAUGAAAGUUCUCGGAACGUUCUAAAAAUUUACAUAGAAUUUUUCUAGAAAAUAUGAAAAAUAUCUGCGCAAAGAUCCACCGGAGGGGAUGGGCCAGUGGGCCACAAGCCCUGUUACCGCGGCAACCAAGCUUGUGGGGCCCACGUGGCUCUGCUGCCCCAAACUCAGCUCUAUAAAUUCACUUUCGAACGGAAAAAAAUCAGAAGAAAAGAUUUCGUCGCGUUUGCAAUACGGAGGCGCCGCCACAUCCUGUUCUACAUCUGGAGGACAAAUCUGGAGUCCGUUUUGUGCUCCGGAGAGGGGAAAUCGUCGCCAUCGUCAUCAUCAACCUUCUUCCCUCUCCAAUUCCAUGAAUCUCUUCAUCGUUCGUGAGUAAUCUAUUCGUAGGCGCACUGGACGGUGAUGAGUAGGAUGAGAUCUAUCACGUAAUCGAGUUAGUUUUGACGGGGAUUGAUCCCUAGUAUCCAGUAUGUUCUGAGAUUGAUGUUGCUACUACUUUGUCAUGCUUAAUGUUUGUCACUAGGGCCCGAGUGCCAUGAUUUCAGAUCUGAAAUUAUUAUGUUGUCACCAAUAUAUGUGUGUUUUAGAUCCGAUCUUGCAAGUUGUAGUUACCUACUAUGUGUUAUGACCCGGCAACCCCGGAGUGACAAUAACCGGAACCACUCCCGAUGAUGACCAUAGUUUGAGGAGUUCAUGUGUUCACCAUGUGCUAAUGCGUUGUUCCGGUUCUUUAUUAAAAGGAGAACCUUAAUAUCCCGUAGUAUCCUUUUGGACCCCGCUGCCACGGGAGGAAUGGACAAUAGAUGUCAUGCAAGUUCUUUUCCCUAAGCACGUAUGACUACACACGGAAUGCAUGCCUACAUCACAUUGACGAACGGGAGCUAGCCACAUAUCUCUUUGUGUUAUAACUGUUGCAUGAUGAAUAUCAUCCAAACGAAUCACCGACCUAUUGCCUACGAGUUUAUCCCACUGCUGUUGUCACUUGUUUUACUCUACUACUGUUAUUUGUUUUGCUCUGCUGCUGUUACUUGUUUUGCUCUGCUGCUGUUACUACUUCUGCUACUUGCUACUGUUGCCACUUGGUACCGAUGUCACUACUGCUGUUCCUUGUCACUGCUGUUACUCGUUACACUGCUCCUACCCGCUACAAUACUUUUUCGCUCGACGUUGCCGGGAAAAGACUAUUUCCGUCUAUGGGCAACUUCUGGCACCAUUGAUACAACAGUUAGGAAUAGUCUGCCAUCAACAGAUCGUUUCUGGCACCGUUGUUAUCAUACUACUUUGCUGCUGAUACUUUGCUUGCAGAUACUAAUUUUUCAGGUGUGGUUGAAUCUGACACAUUCAGCUGCUAAUACUCGAGAGUAUCCUCUCACUUCCUGCCUGGUGAACCAACAAAUUUGGGUUGAAUACUCUACCCUCGAAAACUACCGCAAACCCACGCGCUGGUGGGCCAUUGCAAGACAAUUGCUAAUUGUUGAGCAACUGGGAGCAGUUCUGGAUCUGUUGUCGCGAAGGCAUCAAGUCAGGGACACGUCAACAAUAUUCUUCUAGUGUCGUUGUCGGGGCCUGCCGUUAGCAGCAUUUUUCUGGCGCCGUUGUCGGGGAAGGAUUGAUAUAUUCUCUGAGUCACUUGGGAUUUAUAUCUGCUGAUCACUAUGAAGAAUCUGAAAGAUCCCAAAACCAAAGUCUUGCCCUCAACUACGAGGGGAGGUAAGGAACUGCCAUCUAGCUCUGCACUUGAUUCACCUUCAGUUUUGAGUAAGUUUGCGACAUCACCUCCUGUUAGAAAUUUUGAUAUUUCGACUGUGCUAGAUGAUGCUAAAGGUGCUACUGCUAUUGAUGAUGCUUAUGAUGCUACUAUGCCUGAUACUGCUAGAGAUGUUAUGCCUGAUACUACUAUGCCUGAUACUGCUAGAGAUGUUAUGCCUGAUGAUGUUAGAGAUGCUCUUUUGCCUGAUGAUGCUAUGCUUGAUAUAGCUAGAGAUACUACUUUGCCUGAUGUGUCACUAAGGGUGGUCCUUGAUGAUCAUAUUGCUAGAGUUACUACCAAUGCUCGUGAUGCUUCUGAAACUGCCGAUACUAUUGAUAUGGAACCUUCUUUUGCUCCUGCUAGAUCUAGCUCUCCUAGAUAUGAAUUUCCUGAUAUACCUGAGGGUUACGUUAUGGAGGGAGAGAUAGCUGAGGAUUUUCUUGUGUGUAAGGAUGCCUAUGACGCUGAGAAAUUACUUUUCAAGUGGAAGGAAAAAUAUCAGAAAGCUAUGAUGAAAUAUGACCCGAAGUUUGCCACUUCACCUAUCUUUAUUACCGAUAAGGAUUAUGAAUUCUCUGUCGAUCCUGAGAUAAUCUCUCUAGUCGAAUCUGAUCCUUUCCACGGUUAUGAGUCUGAGACGGUCGUAGCACAUCUUACCAAACUACACGAUAUAUCCACCCUUUUUACAAGUGAGGAGAAGAUCCGCCACUACUAUAUCCUUAAGUUGUUUUCUUUCUCUCUAAAGGAUGACGCUAAAGCCUGGUUCACUUCUCUUGCUCCUGGAUGUGUGAGUAGUCCCCAGGAUAUGGUCUAUUACUUCUGUGAGAAAUAUUUCCCUGCCCAUAAGAAGCAAGCUGCAUUGCAAGAAAUAUACAACUUUGCUCAACUCAAAGAAGAGAGUCUCCCACAAGCUUGGGGGAGGCUCGUCCAGCUACAGAAUGCUUUGCCUGAUCACCCUCUUAAGAAGAACGAGAUACUUGAUAUCUUCUAUAACGGACUUACCGAUGCUUCUAGAGACCAUCUAGAUAGUUGUGUCGGUUGUGUUUUUAGGAAACGAACUGUAGAACAAGCUGAGACUCUACUGAAUAACAUCUUGAUCAACGAUAAUGCUUGGACUAUUCCCGAACCACCUCCUAAGCCAACUUCCAAGAAAAGAGGUAUUCUAUUCCUAAGUCCCGAAGAUAUGCAAGAAGCCAAGAAAUCUAUGCAAGAGAAAGGCAUUAGAUCCAAAGAUGUCAAAAUUCUGCCACCUAUCGAAGAGAUCCAUGGUCUCGAUAACCCGAUACAGGUAGUAGAAGUAAAUUCUCUGCGUAGGUUUGAUGAGAGUGAUAUUCCUUUUGAUAAACCUGCUAGCCUAUGCUUUGAUGAAUUUGACAACUUUGUUGCCAAACAACAGAGUUUCAAUGAUUAUGUUAGCAGACAUUUGGAACAAAGUACUCGUAUGCUUAGUCAUUUAAGUGCUUGUGUAGACAGAAAUGUCAAUGAUCUGAAGUAUCUGAGUAAACAUGCCUCUAUGAUUACUACUCAGGUAGAACAAGUACUUAAAGCUCAAAAUGACUUGCUCAAUGAAUUAAAUGACAACUCUGUCAGAGUCAUUACUAGAGGAGGCAAAAUGACUCAGGAACCUUUGUAUCCUCAGGGUCAUCCUAAGAGAAUUGAUCAAGAUUCUCAAGGAAUUAAUGCAUAUACACCCAUUCAUCCUAAGGAGAAGAAGAAGGAUGAUAGAAACCUGCAUGUUAGUUCACCAAAUACCGUCACACCUAAAGAACCAAAUAAUAUUUCUGCGUCUGAUGCAGAAACACAGUCUGGUGAUGAACAUGAACCUGGUGAUAAUAUGGACAGCGAUGUUCAUAAUGAUGCUCAACCUAGCAAUGAUAAGGAUGUGGAUAUUGAACCUACGGUUAAUCCUGAUAACCCACAACCUAAGAGAUACGAUAAGAAUGACUCCACUGCUAGGAAGCAUGGUAAAGAAAGAGAGCCAUGGGUUCAGAGACCUAUGCCCUUUCCUCCUAAGCCAUCCAAGAAAAAGGAUGAUGAGGAUUUUGAGCGCUUUAUUGAAAUGAUAAGACCCGUCUUUCUGCAGAUGUGGUUAGUUGAUAUGCUCAAAAUGUCUCCAUAUGCCAAGUACAUGAAAGAUAUCGUGACCAAUAAACGGAAGAUACCAGAUCUUGAGAUCUCCACCAUGCUUGCCAAUUACACUUUCCAAGGUGGAACUCCUAAGAAACUUGGUGAUCCCGGAGUGCCCACUAUACCUUGCUCCAUUAAAGGAAACUCCGUAAGAACUGCCUUAUGUGACCUUGGAGCCGGUGUUAGUGUUAUUCCUCUCUCUCUUUAUCGUAGACUUGAACUGGAUAAGUUGACACCCACUGACAUUUCUUUGCAAAUGGAAGACAAAUCAACUGCUUUCCCUGUUGGCAUUUGCAAGGAUGUGACUGUUGUGGUUGCUAACACCACUAUCUUAACAGACUUUGUUAUCUUGGAUAUUUCCGAGGACGAUUCCAUGGCUGUCAUCCUCGGAAGACCUUUUUAAACACUGCUGGGGCUGUUAUAGAUUGUAACAAAGGCAAUGUCACUUUCCAUGUCAACGGUAAUGAGCAUAUCGUGCACUUUCUCAAGAAAUGAUAUCAAGUACAUUGCAUCAAUGCUAUCGAGAAAACUUCAUCGAUUCUUAUUGGGAGCUUUGAAUGCGCUAUUCCUCGUGUCAAGAUGAAGUAUGAUUUUCUUGUUGGGGAGAUUCAUAUCUUCAUUGAGUUGACUUAGUGGCUAUUCGAAAAUUCUCCAUUCUCUCUUGCGAUUCGAGAAAGUUUUGUCAUGAGGAUUUGAUCAACCCCAUUGACGGAUUUCUUUCGAUGACCAUGAAAUGGAUGAAUCAAAGAGUCACAUACCUGUGUUUUAAGCUUUCACUUUCUUUUGCUUAGAAGAAAAAUGAUAGAUUUAGUUUAGUUUUCCUGUUUUCUGUUUUAGCGUCUCGGAUAAAAAUACCCCGAAAAUAAAAGUUCUCCGAUGGUCCUGAAAAUCUAGUAUGAUUUUUUCUGGAAUAUUUGAAAAAUACUGGGACUGAGAGCUGGCCUGGGGGCCACCCCAGUGGGCCACAAGCCCUGUCACCGCGGCCACCCCCCUGGCCGCGGCAAGCAAGCUUGUGGGGCCCACAUGGCCCCCCUCCACUCAUUCCAGCUCCCAUCCUCUUCCUCUACCUCCAGAAAAAACAUUUUCACAGCUCAAACCCGUGUUCUUGCUCAUUUGGCUGUGAUUUUCGAUCUCCUUGCUGAAAGCAUCAUUCUCCGAACCGUUUUGGGGAAAUUACUCCUUGUUAAGUGACUCCUCCAUUGGUCCAAUUAGUUUUUGCUCUAGUGCUUUAUCCUUCGCGUAUUCUUGCUACCUUGGUGACCCUGUUCUUGAGCUUGAAAUGUUGAUUUUAGCUGGUCCCAAGUAGUUUGAGCGCGUGAUACGGUCUCUAGGCACUAGUAGGAGUAGUUGCUACAAGGUGUGGUUGGUAUUUAUUCACUCUUCUCUUGAACUUCAAAAUUUUCAGCAAAAGAAAUUAUGUUCAGGAGGAAGUUUCAUGGUGGUUCCUCAAGUAAGAAGGGUCCCCGUCUUUCUAUUCGGGAGCCCGAUCCUUAUCAACUAAGGGACGCACCGGUACAACCAUGUGAAUGGCCUUCCGAUGAGUUCAUGAUCGAAGCAGGCUUCAAGGAUGAGUUUGAUACACUUGACCGCAAUGCCGGGUUAGAAGAAUUCCUCUCAGAUAAAUGUGAACAGUAUGCUAUGCUCAUUGCCUCUUUCAUGCGUAGAUUUAAAUUUUCAGUUGGCCGUGACUCAUCCAUACUGUUUGAUUUGUAUGAUAAAUCCUAUGCCAUGGAUUUGGAAGAUUUCAAUAGGAUUUGCAAAAUACCCGAUGGGGGUAAUCUUAAAGAUCCUGCUAAAUCUUCGGUUAGAGAUUUUUUCUCUAGUAUAUCUGUUGGAGAAACUAGAGACAUCACGCAAGCUACCAUAGGAAGCAUUCAUUUCCCUGCCUUGCACUACUUUGCCCUCUUCGUAGGUAGGUGCAUUAACGGUAAGGUUGAACAUUGUCACCUAUGCGCAUCCGACCUUAGUAUUCUUAAGAGCGCAGUUACGGGUGACAAAAGCUUCAACAUGGGAGUUAUUAUAGCAAGGAGGCUGAAUAAGAACGCUAUUGAGGGAGAUUUCUUUGGCGGCAUCUAUGCCACUCGCAUAGCAAAUUUUCUUGGAGUACCCAUCCACGCAGGAGAUCCCCUGCUCCAUACAGCUUUCCUUGACCGCAUCGCUUUGACACGCUACCAGUUCCUUGAGAGGGGUGAUGAAUCCCUCCUAUACCGAUUGAUAUUUAACAGGCAGCGUGUUUUCCAUAUUACCCUUCCUGCUCCUGCUUUCUUUGACUUUCAGGUUAAACGGAGAUACUACAUAACCAUAGGAGAGGAACAGGAGUAUGAGAGGGAGGAGACGGCUGCCCGUCUUCGUGAGGCAGCUAUUCAGGCAGUGGCUGCAGCGCUCCCGUAUAACCCCGAUUAUGAUUUUUGGUUUCGCCAGGACCGUCCUUGGGAGUAGACCAAGCUAGACCAAAAGCCUAAUCUUGGGGGAGUACGUGUUCUCACCGACCUUACAUUAAUGCUUAUGCUUUUACUUUGUUCGUCGGUGUUCACACUUUGCCACUGUAUUAUCCAUGCUAGUUUAUUUUCGUUUUCUUGUUUUCUUGUUUUGUGUCCUUUUGAGAAAACCCAAAAAGAUUUCCCUUUCUUCUUUUGCUUGUUGGGAGCUUUCCCGUGUAAAUAGUUUUCUUUUUCUUUGGGUCAAGGUAGAAGAUAUUGGUUACAAUAUUUAAUAGCUCUUGCAUGCAUACCUGUUUAGCUUUCAAAGAGCCAUAUUACUUUGUCUUCUCCUUUGUGUUUGCCUGCAGAUUUCAGCUUAGUCCAAUGCAUGAGCACUCUUAUUAUUGUUCACAUUGUUCGAUCGUGCAAGUGAAAGUCAAUGAUGAUGAUAUAUGAAGAAGUGACUGAGACUGGAAAAGCUGGUAUGAACUCUAUAUAUUUUGUUUUUGUAAAUAUGACUAGCUUGUCAUCCCAGAUUCAGCUUUGUUGUGAGAGAACCAUGUUUGCAAUGACAACUUAGAGAUCAUAGUUUCUGAUGGCAUGCUUAUUUAGCUAGGAGCUUAUAAUGGUUUGUCUUGAAUGCCAACAUAGAUUUUGAGAUAACUAUGAUGUAGUAUGAUAGGAUGGUAUUCUCCUUUGAAUGAUUCAAGUGGCUUGACUUGGCGCAUGUUCAUGCAUGUAGUUGAAACAAAAAUCAAAAUAGCCUCUAUGAUGUUCGUGUUCAUGGUGAUUUAUAUCCUAUUCAUGCUUGCACUCCAUGUUAGUCAAACUCAUUGCAUUCUGAUGACUGUUGUCGCUCUCUAGUUGGUUGCUUCCCAGUCUUUUGCUAGCCUUCACUUGUACUAAGUGGAAUACUGCUUGUGCAUCCACUUCCAUAAACCCAAAAGUUUUUCCAUGCGAGUCUACCAUACCUACCUAUUUGCGGUAUUUACCUGCCGAUCCAAGUAAAUUUGCAUGUGCCAUUCUCUAAACCUUCAAGAAAUAUUCUGUUUUGCAUACCCGAACCGCUCAUGUGGUGAUAGGGGCUAUUGGUAUCUUCCAUGUUAGGCGUGUUAUCCUCGACAUGUGUUUAUUCACUGUCAUUCACGAGAAAGGGGCCAGUAAUUGGAAUGCCUAGUUCCACGCUUAAAUCGAAAACAUAACUGUAAAAGAAGACUCCCCCCGGAUUGAUGUUAGUAUGGACGGUACCCGAGGAUUCGGCUAGCCGUGGAGUGUGAUUGAUUGGUGGUGGGGGAGUUAUAACUUUACUUUUCUGUUUGGGAACCGCUUAUAGCAUGAAUAGCAUGGAAGAUAUUGAGAACUCUUGGUCAUUGCAUUGACAAUGAAAGCAUGCCACCCAAAAUUAUUAUCUCUGUUUUCAAAGCUUGAGCUCUGGCACCUCUGCAAAUCAAUGCUUCCCUCUGCGAAGGGCCUGUCUAUUUAUUUUCAUGUUGAGUCAUCCUCUUCUUAUAUAAGCACCAAUUAGAGAGCACCUCUAUCUUUUUUAUGCUUUGCUUUUGAUUGAUAUUGAGUAUGACUAUGACUGGAUCUUCGUUGCUAUGAAUUACAAUGUUUAGUCAGCCCUUGAUCUUUGAAAGUGCUUUGCAUUUAUGUUUUGCGGUCUCAGAAAGAGCUAGCGAGAUACCACCUAUUCAUAUUGCUUCAUGCUUGUUUUGAUUGAAUUAUUGGUAUAUGAAACUCAUUAUUAUUUGCUCGCUAGCUGAUUAUGCCAUUGAUAUUAGUUUACCGAGAGACCUUUGUGUCACUUGCUUAUGUGGUUAACUUGUGAUCUUGCUGAAAUUCUGGUUAUGAGUUAGACAUAGUUGCAACAACAAGAUCAAACAGAGUUUGUCAAAGUUUUUCUUUCUCUUUCAGUUUGUCAAUUGAGUUGCUUGAGGACAAGCAAUGUUUUAAGCUUGGGGGAGUUGAUACGUCUCCAUCGUAUCUACUUUUCCAAACUCAUUUGCCCUUGUUUUGGACUCUAAUUUGCAUGAUUUGAAUGGAACUAACCCGGACUGACGCUGUUUUCAGCAGAAUUGCCAUGGUGUUGUUUUUGUGCAGAAAUGAAAGUUCUCGGAACGUCCUGAAAAUUUCCGGAGAAUUUUUCUGGAAAAUAUGAAAAAUACCUGCACAAAGAUCCACCGGAGGGGAUGGGCCAGUGGGCCACAAGCCCUGUUGCCGCGGCCACCCCCUGGCCGCGGCAACCAAGCUUGUGGGGCCCACGUGGCUCUGCUGGCCCCAAACUCAGCUCUAUAAAUUCACUUUUGCCCAGAAAAAAAUCAGAAGAGAAGAUUUCAUCGCGUUUGCGAUACGGAGGCGCCGCCACAUCCUGUUCUUCAUCUAGAGGACAGAUCUGGAGUCCGUUUUGGGCUCCGGAGAGGGGAAAUCGUCGCCAUCGUCAUCAUCAACCUUCUUCCCUCUCCAAUUCCACGAAGCUCUUCAUCGUUCGUGAGUAAUCUAUUUUUAUGCUCGUUGGGCGGUGAUGAGUAGGAUGAGAUCUAUCAUGUAAUCGAGUUAGUUUUGACGGGGAUUGAUCCCUAGUAUCCAGUAUGUUCUGAGAUUGAUGUUGCUACUACUUUGUCAUGCUUAAUGUUUGUCACUAGGGCCCGAGUGCCAUGAUUUCAGAUCUGAAAUUAUUAUGUUGUCACCAAUAUAUGUGUGUUUUAGAUCCGAUCUUGCAAGUUGUAGUUACCUACUAUGUGUUAUGACCCGACAACCCCGGAGUGACAAUAACCGGAACCACUCCCAGUGAUGACCAUAGUUUGAGGAGUUCAUGUGUUCACCAAGUGCUAAUGCGUUACUCCCGUUCUUUAUUAAAAGGAGAACCUUAAUAUCCCGUAUUAUCCUUUUGGACCCCACUGCCACAGGAGGGAUGGACAAUAGAUGUCAUGCAAGUUCUUUUCCCUAAGCACAUAUGACUACACACGGAAUGCAUGCCUACAUCACAUUGACGAACGGGAGCUAGCCACAUAUCUCUCCGUGUUAUAACUGUUGCAUGAUGAAUAUCAUCCAAACGAAUCACCGACUCGUUGCCUACGAGUUUGUCCCACUGCUGUUGUCACUUGUUUUACUGUGCUGUUGUUACUUGUUUUACUCUGCUGCUGUUACUUGUUUUGCUCUGCUGCUGUUACUACUGCUGCUACUUGCUACUGUUGCCACUUGCUACCGCUGUCACUACGGAUGUUCCUUGCCACUGCUGCUACCCGCUAAAAUACUUUUUCGCUCGACGUUGACGGGAAAAGACUAUUUCCGUCUACGGGCAACUUCUGGUGCCAUUGAUACAACAGUUAGGAAUAGUCUGUCGUCAAUAGAUCGUUUCUGGCACCGUUGUUAUCAUACUACUUUGUUGCUGAUACUUUGCUUGCAGAUACUAAUCUUUCAGGUGUGGUUGAAUCUGACACAUUCAGCUGCUAAUACUCGAGAGUAUCCUCUCACUUCCUUCCUAGCGAACCAACAAAUUUGGGUUGAAUACUCUACCCUCGAAAACUGUCGCGAACCCACGCGCUGGUGGGUCAUUGCAAGACAAUUGCUAAUUGUUGAGCAACUGGGAGCAGUUCUGGCUCUGUUAUCGCGAAGGCAUCAAGUCAGGGACACGUCAACAACAUUCUUCUAGUGUCGUUGUCGGGGACUGCCGUUAGCACUUACCCGAAGUGUCUGCUUGUCAAACUCAGAUACGAUGUAGCGUGUAAUAUCUGAUGAGAUCACAUAGCCAGGCCCAUUAGCAUAACUUGGGUAAGCCUCCUCUGGCCAUUCCUAGAAAGAAACAAGAAAACUAUGAUUAAGAUGCCCUUUCGGUAUAAGUACAAAAAUCAUGGAGACGGAAGGACAACACAAAGUACAUAACGCCAGAUUUUGUUGUCCCAAGAUUAGAUUAUUCAUGUUCACCAAGUACCAUAUGAUCGAGAUGGUUAGAAACAUUGCAGCUGUGAAACCAAUGAAUGAUUCUGAUAUUAAUGAUCUAGGAAUGGGGGCAUUAGAACGGUUAUGUGAGGAUCUUGUGCCUCCUUCACUUGUGCCUGAAGAGGCAAAUGACAUCGUUGACAGGGGGUAUGUGGCUCCUCUUCAAACGUCGAUAAGCACAGAAACUGAGACCGGUUAUGUGGACCGGUACGAGGAUCGGGAUAGGCCGAAAAGAACAUGGAAGAGAAAGAUAUAUCCUGUAUCGGCGGUGCGUAGAAGUGCAAGAUUUAAGACAGCGAAGAAAUUUCAUGAUGAGAGAUGAGAGGAAUUUUCUGGAAUAGCAGAGGUCUAGCAGACUUGGCUAAAAGGAGGUUUCUAGCGGAAGCAUCUAUUGAGCACAAAUUAGAUUUCAUUGUUCUCAUGGAAACGGGGAGAGAUAAUUUUACUGCGCAAUUUUUAGGAACGUUAUCUGGUGGUGUAGAGUUUGACUGGCACUGUCUACCUCCAAGAGGAAGAUCCGGGGGGAUCUUGCUUGGGGUGAAGUGCGAGACGCUACAAGUCCGGAACGUGGUGUUCGGGGACUUUUCUAUAAAAUUUAUAGUUCGGUCAAAGGUGGAUGUAUUCCAAUGGGCCCUGGUAGCAGUAUACGGGGCAGCCCAUCCUGAGCUCAAGAGAGACUUCUUGGCUGACCUUGUCCGGAUAUGUGGGGAUGAGUGGUUGCCAAUUCUAGUUGGUGGAGAUUUUAAUAUAAUCAGAAGACGAGACGAGAAAAACAAUGUGAACUUUGAUGACAGAUGGUCAUUCAUGUUUAACUCUAUCAUCGAAAGCCUUGAUUUGCGAGAAAUUAAGCUAUUAGGCAGAAAAUUUAUUGGGCGAACAACCUACCUAAUCCAACUUUUGAGAAGUUGGACCGGGUCCUUGCGAGUGUGGAUUGGGAGCAGAAGUUUCCUCAUGUCACAGUUCGCGCUAUGCCCAGAGCCAUAUCCGAUCAUACCCCAUUGUUUGUAGACUCAGGGGAGACAACUCAUGUGGGGAAUAAAAACCUCUUCUCAUUCGAGUUAGGAUGGCUCGAAAGAGAGGGUUUCGUGGUUCUCAUUGCCAGGGAGUGGGCCAUGGAUAUGGGAGGAACCUCCAAGAUUGACAGGUGGCAAAAUAAGAUUAGACACGUGCGUCAAUUUUUACGGGGAUGGGCGAAGCAUGAAAGUGGAAUUUAUAAGAAAGAGAAAUAGAGGCUUCUCGAACUUAUAAAUACGCUAGAUUUAAAAGCCGAAAAUUCGUUAUUAAAUGACAAUGAGAGGUCAUUAAAAGUGGAUGCUGAAUUAAAGCUAAAACAACUGCUCAGACAGGAUGAGUUGAAAUGGGCACUGAGGGCAAAGGUUCGCUAGGUUGUGCAAGGUGAUGACAAUAACAAUACUUCCAUUUGAUAGCUAAUGGAAAACAUAGAAAAAAAUAUCGGCUUGAGCAGGAUGAGGGUACAAUUGUUGGACACGAAAAUCUGAAAUUGUAUAUCUCUCAGUACUACAAAAAACUCUUCGGGGCUCCGGAAGACAAUUUUGUAUCCAUGAAUGAACAAUCGGCCGGGGACAUACCUCAGCUCGGGAUGGAUGAGAAUGAGUUAUUAACCAUGCCUUUUACGGAGAAAGAGGUGUUUGAAGCCAUAACACAAAUGAAAAAUAAUAAGGCACCGGGACCGGAUGGAUUUCUGGCUGAGUUUUACAAGAAGUGUUGGCACAUUAUCAAAGGUGACUUGUUACCUAUGUUCCAAGAACUUUUUGAUGGAAAUUUACAAUUAUUUCACCUGAAUUUCGGAACAGUGAUACUGUUGCCAAAGAAGGAGGGUGCAAUUUGUAUAGAACAAUUUAGACCUAUUUGUCUUCUAAAUAUCAGCUUUAAAAUAUUUACAAAGGUAGGAACGAAUAGGUUGACCAAGAUUGGGCAUGAGGUAGUGCAACCGAGCCAGGCGGCUUUCAUGCCGGGCCGGAACAUACUAGAGGGUGUGGUGGUCUUGCAUGAAACGCUGCAUGAAAUUCACUCGAAGAAACUAGACGGGGUUAUCUUCAAGGUAGAUUUUGAGAAGGCAUAUGAUAAGGUCAAAUGGCCAUUCCUACAACAGGCAUUACGUACGAAGGGGUUCGACGAAAUUUGGAGGAAACAUGUUGAAUCAUUCGUACAAAAAGGGAGUGUUGGAAUUAAGGUCAAUGAUGAUGUUGGCCAUUUCUUCCAAACUUUCAAAGGUCUCAGACAGGGAGAUCCAAUGUCACCCAUCCUAUUUAACAUAGUUGCAGACAUGUUGGCAAUUCUAACAGGGAGGGCUAAACUAGGAGGCCAGGUAGGUGGACUGGUGCCGCAUCUUGUGGAUGGCGGCGUGUCCAUCCUGCAAUAUGCUGAUGAUACUAUCUUGUUUAUGGAACAUGAUAUAGCAAAAGUCAGGAAUAUGAAGCUUAUCCUCUGCCUCUUCGAACAACUGUCAGGUUUGAAGAUUAAUUUUCAUAAGAGUGAGCUGUUUUGUUUUGGGAAAGCCAAAGAGGAACAAAACACUUACAAACAAUUGUUCGACUUUGAACUGGGUAGCCUAUCGUUCAGUUAUUUAGGUAUACCUAUUCAUCAUCGAAAGCUUUCCAAUAGUGAGUGGAAAAGCAUCGAGGAUCGAUUUGAGAAGAAGCUAAGCUGCUGGAAGGGCAAGCUCCUCUCAUAUGGGGGAAGGUUAAUUCUAAUUAACUCGGUACUUACGAGUAUGCCGAUGUUCCUUCUAUCCUUCUUUGAGGUACCCGUGGGGGUACGUAAAAGGCUGGAUUUUUAUCGAUCUAGAUUUUUUUGGCAGAGUGAUGAAGACAGGAAGAAAUAUAGAUUAGCUAAAUGGGAUAUUAUUUGUAGGCCCAAAGACCAAGGAGGUCUGGGAAUUGAGAACUUAGAGAUAAAGAAUAGAUGUUUGCUAAGUAAGUGGCUGUUUAGACUUUUGGUAGAGACAGAAGGUAUGUGGGUACAAAUUUUGCGUAAUAAGUACCUACACUCUAAAACCUUAUCCCAGGUAAAAGUGAGACUUAAUGAUUCACCAUUCUGGAAGAGAUAGAUGAGAGUGAGAUCAACCUUCUUCCAUAGAACCAAAUUCAUUAUUGGAACCGAUGAGGGUACGAGAUUCUGGGAGGAUGCACGGUUGGGGGAGAUGCCCCUGGCUAUUCAAUAUCCAGCUCUCUAUAAUAUUGUGCAACGAAAGGAGGCGUAUGUAGCCACAGUACUUUAGUCAAAUCCUCUAAAUAUCCAAUUCAGACGGUCAUUGAUAGGCCAUCGUUGGGCGGAUUGACUACACCUUGUUAGGAGGCUCAUGGAUAUCCAGUUAUCAGAAGAACUUGACAUGGUCUAUUGGAAGCUUACAAAUAACGGAAUAUUUACGGUCAAAUCGAUGUAUCUCAAUCUUAUUGAUACGACUACUAUCCCAAAAUCCAUUAAUAUUUGGAGAGUCAAGGUUCCUUUAAGGAUCAAGGUCUUCAUGUGGUUUGUGCACAAGAAGGUGAUUCUAACUAAGGAUAAUUUGGCUAAACGUAAUUGGGGAGGAAGUACUCGAUGUAGCUUUUGUGAUAACGAAGAGAACAUUACACACCUCUUUCUCCAAUGCCCACUUGCGAGAGUUCUUUGGCACACAGUGUGUAUAGCCUUUAACAUUGUACCCCCAGAUAGCAUUGACACAUUAUUUGAAGGGUGGCUACAUGGAGUUGAUAUGAUUAUUGCUAGACCCAUUUGAAUUGGAGUUUGUGCACUUCUUGGGGCUAUAUGGAACUGUAGGAAUGAUGUGGUUUUUGACAGACAUACGAAUAUACAUUUUUUGCAGGUACUUCACAGAGCUGCGGCAUUGCUCCGUACGUGGUCAUUACUCACUCCUGCGGAAACCAGGGAGCCUUUGGUUACUGGGUCUACCCGAUGGAAGAUGGUACCGCGAAAUAUCUUCCACCGGUUUGGAUGGCGGUCCAGUAAUAGGAUAGAUGGUUAGGCAUCUAGGCCUGUUUUGUCGGUUGUGCCACUUUUUGAUCUACUUUUGCUUCUUUACUGCUUUGUUGGAGACUAAGUUAAACCAAGAUCUGUUUGUUUAUUUUAAUAAAAGGGCCGUAUGCAUCGCGCUGAUGCAGAGGUCGGAGGUAACCCUUCUUUUCUAAAAAAACAAGUAACAUAUGAACGCAAGACUUUUGACUGACAAAUGUAAAAUCCACUUCCGAUAACAAGUUAUACCUACAGCGAACUUAUUCAAAUCUAUACAAGAACUUAAAACUGGAUCAUGUUGAUCCCAUGGUUUUACUCCUCUUGCACAAAGGACUUUUCCACAUAAAUCAGUUUGUCGACUGUGCAUAAUAAUUUAAUCAUUCCAGCGACUAUCCUCAUAAUUCACUACAAGAUUUGCACUUCUGAUGUGCCUGCGAAUUCGUGCAGCAAGCGCGUAAUGGGUUUCACCAAUAGAAUACCAGGUGCCAGGUGGUAAUUGACUUCUUGCCAUUUGGCAGCAAACGGAAACAAAGGUAUGCUACACUUUUGAUGUGCCUGCAAAUUCGCGCAGCAAGUGCAUAAUGGUUUUCACAAAUAAGAAUACCAGGUGCUAGGUGGUAAUUGACUGCUUGACAUUUGGCAGCAAACGGAAACACGGGUGUGCUAUGCUUUUUGUUAGGAAUAAAAUAUCUUUAGAUUUAGGCUAAUUAGGCAAUUAGCAUAUUCCUUAGAAUAUUCCGUUUAGUAGUUAAGAUACUGCGUUGUCCAGACGCUGUUCUCAAGGAACCGUCGCUGCGUCUUUUCGAAACGAUGCAAACACUGUAACCGACUUGUAUCCUGCGACUAUUCAGGAGAUAUAAAACCUGUAGUCAUUAUCAAUGAAAGCAUCCGAUUUCACUUUCAAUCUUACUCUUUUCUCUUCACCGUUAUCAUGCACGUAUCGCUAUUACAGAGAGAAUAGGCUACAUGAGAGAAGAAAGGUAAGAAGAUAUGGAUUCUCUAUCAGACCUUGCUUUUGCUUUCGCUAGGUUCGUGGCUAGGGAGCAUUGCCGUUUCCGUCUUCCUCGCCGGACUUCUGGUCUGGCCGCUGUUCGUCGUCGGAACUUUGGACGUCCCCAUCAGCGUCACCUGAACAGGAACGGCGGCCUCCGCCGCCGCAGUGCACCAUACCAUGCUCCUCUUCGUCGCUACGGUCCUGGUGGUGGCCUCCUUCGCCGCCAUGCUCAUCGCCAGCGCCUCCACAGUUGUCACCGUUCGGUGCACCGAAGCAAUCCCCAUGGAGUGCCAGGACCGAGUACGAGGACGGAUGCGCCCACGGAAGAGGUCCCGGUCAUGCCCCAAAAGGCUGUUGUCGCACCAAACGAUGUCGACGAAUAGGUUGCUGCAGUGCCGAAUGUCGCUGCAGGGGUUGGGAUCGAGCACGAGGAUGAGGCCUCUGCCUCCAACAUCAACACAGAUGCCGCAGAACUGCCGCCUCCUCCGUCGGUGUACGCACCUAUGGAAUGGAUGCUUGCCGGACCAAGCGUCGGAUGGCUAGUUGAUGACCCAAAUAGCUCCUUCAACGACGAAGAACUCGCGGCACCGCCUCCGCCACCGCUGAUGUAUUCUUGCCCAGCCUACGGGUACGGGUCGAGACUCCCAUUCCCGAAGCCAUCUGACGAGGACCCGGAGCACUUCAACCCGCUGGGCUACGAUCCACUGUCGGAGUUCUCCUCGUCGCCGGCUGCAGUCCCUCUGGACGCACUCAAGCCCCGACUCGUCAUCAACCUCUUGCCAAAGGUGAAGACGGAGGAGAUCGAGGCUGCUGCACCGACGCUUGCUGUCGCGACGCUCCCCGACCUCAACCUCCCAGCGCCGGAAGUGGAGUGUCGGGACCCCGAUCCUAAGUCAUAGGAAUCCAGCAUGUAACACAUCACAUCUCUUUGCGGUCUCACGCACGGUUAACUCCACGGCUGCAGCCUUACCUUAGCCGGGACCGUUUGCGUCUUUUGACUCACGUAUGCAAUAGUGUUGCUAGCAUUCCAAUGUCAAAGAACCCGGAUCGACAAGUCUAGUCACAAACCACAGUGGCACUACCGCACAAGGACAGGCAUACAUGACCCAACAAAGCAGGUGUCGGUCACCAGCGAGUGUAGACGAGUCGUAGCAAGCUACAGGGACUCCAUUACAUCGCGUGGCAUUUCCCCAGAGGGGACAGACACAGCAGCUAAGAAGGACACAUGCCGGUCAACCAAUGUGUCCGGAGCAGUAGCGAACUACCAAGGCUCGUUGGAUCACAAAGGGGCAUUUCCUUGUAAGGAGUGCUACUAAAGUUCACGACUAGGUAAUCGAACCCCAUACAUAUCAAGUAUGACACACGUACGCAUGGCAUACCGAUAUGUAUAGAUACAUCGAUGGCAUCACAACAUAACCAUAAACAUACAAGCUUUAUUUAAGAGGCUNNNNNNNNNNNNNNNNNNNNNNNNNNNNNNNNNNNNNNNNNNNNNNNNNNNNNNNNNNNNNNNNNNNNNNNNNNNNNNNNNNNNNNNNNNNNNNNNNNNNNNNNNNNNNNNNNNNNNNNNNNNNNNNNNNNNNNAGAGCCACACACAUAAUAUUACACAUUAAGGGUCUCACGACCCAUAAUAGUAGUCAUUCAGUUACAAGCCAGCGGAAGAGUUUAAAGUUGUCUGAGUACAGACAGGUGCAACUAAAAGGGCACAUGGCCUGACUAUACUACAGACCCAACCUAGGGCCAGAUCGUAGCUGGGACACCAGCUACUCGUCGUGGUCGAUGUCUACGAAGAACCCUCCAUUAGGGUCAUUAGCAACCUCUGCAACAAUUAUUAAGCAAACAUAAGUACGAAGGUACUCAGCAAGACUUUAGGAUAACUAUCUACUCAUGCAAGGUAUCAAUAAGGUAUUGUGGGGUUUCAUGCGGAAAGCCAGCAUUUGACUCGUGGCUAGACAACUUGCAUUUUUAAAUAAUUUUGACAACUUGAUUUCUCGCACACGAGUCCACUAACACCACAACAAUACACCAUCGUGGAAUCAUUCCGUAUCCAUACGGAAAUGCCGUCCACGACACUCACGCUUAUCUUGACAAUUUUAUGAGUAGCCAUUUAAGUUAUCUAUGAACAACAUAUGUCUCCAAGUAGUCCAUAACCGCGGACGCGGCUAUUCGAAUAGAUCAUAACCCUGCAGGGGUGUACUUCGUCACACACGCUCUCGCCACUUAUCGCCAUGUGCACGUCAUGCACCUCGGCAACCUUCAAGCGGAAGCCCAGCGAGGGAGUCGGCCACGACCGUUAACCACACUAGUAUCUAGUCCAGGUUUAUCGCCUAUCUGAGAGUAACCCGUACGGAAGUCCGGCCGAGGUUUCCGCCACGGCCUCAAACGAUGUGCGCAGGGUUCCCAAGCCCACCAUCCGGGUGCCACUUGGUACACCGUGCCACUACCUACCGCAUCACGGCCCACCUCUCAGGUCAGCACCAUGCACGGCCUCCAGCAUUACUAUAAACACCAGAAACUACUUGCAACUCCUGGACCGAGUACUAAGCGAUUAAUAGGCCGAGCGGGGUCAUAUUUCAGGGCCCAGCAUGUGGUAGUAUCUAGUCUUGGAUUACAUACACGGAACUCAGUUCCUAAGGACAGUUCCAAUGAAACAACCCGCCAUGUACUCCUACACAGCCUUUCAUCGGUACCUUUACCAAAUCAGAUUCAACACGCAACCUUUGCUUACCGAACGCAUUCUCACAAUUCUGUUCAUCUCCCAGAUGACAGACCAUACACAACUCUAAGCAUAGCAUGCAUAGCAGGAUAAGGCACAUCAUGGCUCAAGCAACUACCAGGUAUGCUAGGUUGCCAGGUUCGUCUAUUUACUGUGACAAGGAUAGGUCAUGCAAAGGAAGUGGGUUCAACUAACGUGGCAAAAGCAGUUGAAGCAUUUGAUCCUAAUGCAAUAAACAAGUGUAGGAGCAAGAACAUGGGAUUUAUCGGGAUGAUCAAAAUGGUUGCUUGCCUUGUUGCUCAGAGGAGGGACAAUAUCCGUCAGACGGAUAUUCGGUGGAAUCCGGGGGAGCGGAGCCUACCGAAGGAAAUGACAACAAUCAAUAUCAAGCAUAUGCAAUCAAGAUGAUGCAUGAGCAUGGCAUGAGAAUGCAAGGUGAUAUACUAUUAUAAUCAACAUGUAUUAGGUUUGAAGUUGAUUUGAAUUAAAUUCAAAUAUCACCUCAAAUGAGGUAUUCUCGGAUACCGAUUUAAUUGAUUCGACCUGAUGCUCAGAUCAACUUGAUGUUAACAUGCAUGGGAUGUCAUGUUAAGUUGCUGGUUUGUUAUUAGAACAAUGUUUGACCAUGUCAAACAAAAAGAAAUUUAAAUACUUUCCAUAUUCCAUUUAUAAAGUAUUUAUAAGAAUUGACUUAUUCAUUAAUCUACAUGUUUGGGUUGUGUAACUUUUUCAAACAUGAUUGAAAAUAGCAUAUUCAGAUUCCUUGAAUUUUUCUGAUACUUUUUCAUAUAUAAAUUAUUUUCAUUGGAGUUACAGAUUAAUUUCUAUGAAUUUUUGAAGUUUUAAACAUUUCUGGAAUUAUUCUUAUACUGGAAAAUACUUUUACUGCAUCAGCAUGACAUCAGCAGGUCCAUCUAGCCGCUGAAAGUCAAACCUGACCAGUGGGACCCACUGGUCAGUCUCUCUGGUCAAUUUUAGAUUAGGAUUAAUCUUAUUUAGUUAAUUAAACUCACUGGACCCACAUGUCAGUGUCUUAUUAAUUUAUCUUAUUUAUUUUUAUUAUCUCUAAACUAUCCAGAGGCUGGCCCCACCCGUCAGUGGCUCAGGCCAGCUGAGAUCCACCGGCGGCAAGGUCAUCCUCGCCGGCGGGGAGCUUCCGGCGAGCACCAGAACGUCGGGGGGGCUCGGAAACUCGUCUGCGACGGCCAAACUCACGGCAGAGACCACGGGAAGAACGGCCACUCGACGGCNNNNNNNNNNNNNNNNNNNNNNNNNNNNNNNNNNNNNNNNNNNNNNNNNNNNNNNNNNNNNNNNNNNNNNNNNNNNNNNNNNNNNNNNNNNNNNNNNNNNNNNNNNNNNNNNNNNNNNNNNNNNNNNNNNNNNNCGACGGCGCGCACGAUGGGACAAGCCCCAGGGGCUGGGGUGGCCGGAAUCAACGCCGGCGACGAGCUUGGCGGCGACCAAGUUCGGCCAUCGUCGAAGCCAUCGAAUACGGGGUCAAAACGCGCGGGGCUGGGCACCUAACGCAUCUACAUGAUGUCCUGAGGCUGUUGGUGGCCUCAGACGGACCAACCCGUCACCGGAGGGUUACCGGCGACGAGCUGCAGCGGCGGUCCUCGUCGGGCUCCGAUGGAACUAAGCCUAGAGGAGGGGAUCGACGGGGAGAGCUUAGGGGAAAUGACCGCAUGCUCACGGGGAGUGCAGUGGUGGCGCUAGCUUGCUCGGGGACGGCCUGGAGAGGGAGAACGCCGGCGACGAUCUUCGGUGACCCGAGGAAGAAGACGACUGCUCCUCGUCGUUUCACUGCAUCUGGGCGUCUGGCUCGUGGCUAGGGAGCUUCAGGGGGAUGCGGCGGACCUACUGCGUGGCUCAGGAGGGAGAAGGGUCGGCUAGAUCGACGACGAGCUUGAGCUCUGCUCGGGCUCCAAUGGCGGCAGAAGGAGGGAGGAGAGAUCCGAGAGGAGGGGGGAACUGGCGCUGGGAAUGGAUAGGGUCGGCCUCGGGGAGCUUAUCCCCGUGCUUGCCAGCGCGAAGCGGCGGCCAGGCAGCCAGGGAGCUGCGUGGAGGCGCGCGGCGACGCGGCGGCCACCUCCUGCUCCUACUGGCGAGGAGGAAGACGACAGGAGGAGCUGGGCUGGGCCGGCUAGGCGACACGUAAGGUUUUUCCCAUUUCUUUCUGUUUUAUUUCUGUUUUAAUUGCUGGCAUUGAUCUACCAUUCCUAAAGUUUUUCAACAUUUUUAAAAGUUUAAAGUUUCUGAUUUCAAAUUUAAAACUUGAAAUCAGUAGCUUUUUGCAUUUAUUUAAAAUGCUUAAAAUGUCAAGAAAAUGGUUUUCUUCAUUGCUCAUUUACUUUCUGAUUUAUCAGAAAGUUUGAACUUUUCUUGAGGCCAUUUUGGGUUCAUUGAUUUUAACUAGUUAGAAUUUUCCCUCAUUCUAAGAAGUGGGUAGGGUUUUAGCAUUUUCCUUCAUCAUUUGCUUUGUUCUUAUUGAAAAAAUCCUAGAUGCAAUGCAAAGAAAAACAUGAGCACAAGCUAACUUGCUUAAGGAUUCAGGAAUGUGACAUGAAGGAAGAGGAGCACCAGAAAGCAGCGCCGCCGUCCGCCCUCCCGACGCCCUCACCGGAAACCCGUGUGCUACUGCGCCGCUUGGCAUCAGCCAUGGCUGUCCGUCCCGCUGCAAUCCGUAUCGGCACUUGGUCGCCCGAGGCACUCGGCCUCACCAGCCGUGUUGCAGACCUCCACCUCCACCAGGCCGCCUCCAACCUCCUCUCCUCCUCUGCGAAGGGACCGCUCCGCCACUGAAGGAGCCGGCCAUGGGCACGAGCAUGGAGGAGAGCAAGUAGUACUCACGAUCUGGGAGAGAUAGCCAUUUGGGAGAGAAAGUGAUGUGGG
Molecule: long non-coding RNA, 24839 nt
Filed under: Hordeum vulgare
Lineage: Eukaryota; Viridiplantae; Streptophyta; Magnoliopsida; Poales; Poaceae
Description: long non-coding RNA (HVUL_LNC017996)
Source: RNAcentral